GCCGGGGUGGCUUAGUAGGUGGAGCGCCGGACUCAUAAGAAUUUUUCUGAGAAAUCCGGAGGUCUCGGGUUCGAUCCCCGAUCCCGGCA
Molecule: transfer RNA, 89 nt
Filed under: Cuniculiplasma sp. C_DKE
Lineage: Archaea; Methanobacteriati; Thermoplasmatota; Thermoplasmata; Thermoplasmatales; Cuniculiplasmataceae
Rfam family: tRNA
About the family: Transfer RNA (tRNA) molecules are approximately 80 nucleotides in length. Their secondary structure includes four short double-helical elements and three loops (D, anti-codon, and T loops).
Source: Rfam by way of RNAcentral